GACGAACGCUGGCGGCGUGCCUAAUACAUGCAAGUUGAGCGCUGAAGGUUGGUACUUGUACCGACUGGAUGAGCAGCGAACGGGUGAGUAACGCGUGGGGAAUCUGCCUUUGAGCGGGGGACAACAUUUGGAAACGAAUGCUAAUACCGCAUAAAAACUUUAAACACAAGUUUUAAGUUUGAAAGAUGCAAUUGCAUCACUCAAAGAUGAUCCCGCGUUGUAUUAGCUAGUUGGUGAGGAAAAGGCUCACCAAGGCGAUGAUACAUAGCCGACCUGAGAGGGUGGUCGGCCACAAUGGGACUGAGACACGGCCCAAACUCCUACGGGAGGCAGCAGGAGGGAAUCUUCGGCAAUGGACGAAAGGCUGACCGAGCAACGCCGCGGGAGUGAAGAAGGGUUUCGGAUCGUAAAACUCUGUUGGUAGGGAAGAACGUUGGUGAGAGUGGAAAGCUCAUCAAGUGACGGUAACUACACAGAAAGGGACGGCUAACUACGUG
This 497-nucleotide ribosomal RNA is filed under the name uncultured bacterium. RNAcentral's name for it is "partial 16S ribosomal RNA". It matches the Rfam family "Bacterial small subunit ribosomal RNA", at positions 28 to 507 of the family's 1533-position model. The record is from RNAcentral.